Molecule: non-coding RNA, 29 nt
Filed under: Mus musculus (house mouse)
Lineage: Eukaryota; Metazoa; Chordata; Mammalia; Rodentia; Muridae
Source: RNAcentral
UGAUCACGACUGCCUCAGGUUUCAAGUUC